RNAcentral lists this ribosomal RNA (350 nucleotides) under uncultured bacterium. RNAcentral's name for it is "bacterial SSU rRNA". It matches the Rfam family "Bacterial small subunit ribosomal RNA", at positions 355 to 722 of the family's 1533-position model. The record is from RNAcentral.
UCGGGAAUAUUGGACAAUGGGGGAAACCCUGAUCCAGCAACGCCGCGUGAGUGAAGAAGGCCCUUGGGUUGUAAAGCUCUUUCAUCUGUGAUGAUUAUGACAGUAGCAGAAGAAGAAGCCCCGGCUAACUCCGUGCCAGCAGCCGCGGUAAGACGGAGGGGGCAAGCGUUAUUCGGAAUGACUGGGCGUAAAGGGUGUGUAGGUGGUUUUCUAAGCAAGGUGUGAAAUCUCUGGGCUUAACCCAGAAACUGCGCUUUGAACUGGAGAACUAGAGUGCGAGAGAGGAAAGAGGAAUUCCUAGUGUAGGGGUGAAAUCCAUAGAUAUUAGGAAGAACACCAGAGGCGAAGGC